This 407-nucleotide ribosomal RNA is filed under the name uncultured bacterium. RNAcentral's name for it is "partial 16S ribosomal RNA". It matches the Rfam family "Bacterial small subunit ribosomal RNA", at positions 30 to 526 of the family's 1533-position model. The record is from RNAcentral.
AUUGAACGCUAGCGGGAUGCCUUACACAUGCAAGUCGAACGGAGUGGCGAACGGGUGAGUAAUGUAUCGGAACGUGCCCCGUAGCGGGGGAUAACUACGCGAAAGCGUAGCUAAUACCGCAUACUCUUGGAGCCGCAGAUACCGGAUUAGCUAGUUGGUGGGGUAACGGCUCACCAAGGCGACGAUCCGUAGCUGGUUUGAGAGGAAGACCAGCCACACUGGGACUGAGACACGGCCCAGACUCCUACGGGAGGCAGCAGUGGGGAAUAUUGGACAAUGGGGGCAACCCUUAUCCAGCCAUCCCGCGUGUGCGAUGAAGGCCUUCGGGUUGUAAAGCACUUUCGGCAGGAAAGCGGUACCUGCAGAAUAAGCACCGGCUAACUACGUGCCAGCAGCCGCGGUAAUAC